This 253-nucleotide ribosomal RNA is filed under the name uncultured bacterium. Its description in RNAcentral is "partial 16S ribosomal RNA". It matches the Rfam family "Bacterial small subunit ribosomal RNA", at positions 524 to 776 of the family's 1533-position model. The record is from RNAcentral.
GACGUAGGGGGCAAGCGUUGUUCGGAAUUAUUGGGCGUAAAGCGCGCGUAGGCGGCUACUUAAGUCGGAUGUGAAAGCCCUUGGCUCAACUGAGGAAGUGCACCCGAAACUGAGUGGCUAGAGUACGAAAGAGGGUCGCGGAAUUCCCGGUGUAGAGGUGAAAUUCGUAGAUAUCGGGAGGAACACCGGUGGCGAAGGCGGCGACCUGGGUCGAUACUGACGCUGAUGCGCGAAAGCCAGGGGAGCAAACGGG